RNAcentral lists this ribosomal RNA (689 nucleotides) under uncultured bacterium. RNAcentral describes it as "bacterial SSU rRNA". It matches the Rfam family "Bacterial small subunit ribosomal RNA", at positions 1 to 681 of the family's 1533-position model. The record is from RNAcentral.
AAUUCGAUUGAGUUUGAUCAUGGCUCAGGACGAACGCUGGCGGCGUGCUUAACACAUGCAAGUCGAGCGAGAUUCAACCGGUGGCAACACCGGGGAAGAUCGAGCGGCGAACGGGUGAGUAACACGUGAGCAACCUGCCCCGAAGACUGGGAUAACACCGGGAAACCGGUGCUAAUACCGGAUACCCCCACCAGGCCGCAUGACCAGGUGAGGAAAUGCCUGCAUCUAAUAAAUGCAGCACGCUUCGGGAGGGGCUCGCGGGCUAUCAGCUUGUUGGUGGGGUAACGGCCUACCAAGGCGACGACGGCUAGCUGGUCUGAGAGGACGACCAGCCACACUGGGACUGAGACACGGCCCAGACUCCUACGGGAGGCAGCAGUGGGGAAUCUUGCGCAAUGGGCGAAAGCCUGACGCAGCAACGCCGCGUAGGGGAUGAAGGCCUUCGGGUCGUAAACCCCUUUCAGCAGGGACGAAACUGACGGUACCUGCAGAAGAAGCCCCGGCCAACUACGUGCCAGCAGCCGCGGUAAUACGUAGGGGGCGAGCGUUGUCCGGAUUCAUUGGGCGUAAAGAGCUCGUAGGCGGUUUGAUAAGUCGGGUGUGAAAUCUCCAGGCUCAACCUGGAGAGGUCACUCGAGACUGUUAUGACUAGAGUCUGGUAGGGGACCACGGAAUUCCUGGUGUAGCGG